This 497-nucleotide ribosomal RNA is filed under the name uncultured bacterium. Its description in RNAcentral is "partial 16S ribosomal RNA". It matches the Rfam family "Bacterial small subunit ribosomal RNA", at positions 28 to 507 of the family's 1533-position model. The record is from RNAcentral.
GAUGAACGCUGGCGGCGUGCCUAAUACAUGCAAGUCGAGCGAACGGACGAGAAGCUUGCUUCUCUGAUGUUAGCGGCGGACGGGUGAGUAACACGUGGAUAACCUACCUAUAAGACUGGGAUAACUUCGGGAAACCGGAGCUAAUACCGGAUAAUAUUUUGAACCGCAUGGUUCAAAAGUGAAAGACGGUCUUGCUGUCACUUAUAGAUGGAUCCGCGCUGCAUUAGCUAGUUGGUAAGGUAACGGCUUACCAAGGCAACGAUGCAUAGCCGACCUGAGAGGGUGAUCGGCCACACUGGAACUGAGACACGGUCCAGACUCCUACGGGAGGCAGCAGUAGGGAAUCGUCCGCAAUGGGCGAAAGCCUGACGGAGCAACGCCGCGCGAGUGAUGAAGGUCUUCGGAUCGUAAAACUCUGUUAUUAGGGAAGAACAUAUGUGUAAGUAACUGUGCACAGCUUGACGGUACCUAAUCAGAAAGCCACGGCUAACUACGUG